GCAAGUCAACUUGACUUUAGAUAGCAAUAUCGGAAAAGUAGGGUGGCGCACGGGUGCGUAACGCGUAGGUAAUCUGCCCUGAGGUCUGACAUAACCCGUCGAAAGGCGGGCUAACAUCAGAUGAUAUAUAAUCACGACAUCGUGGAAAUAUCAAAUCUUCGGAGCCUUGGGAUGAGCCUGCGUCUGAUUAGGUAGUUGGCGGAGUAAUAGCCCACCAAGCCUACGAUCAGUAGCUGGUCUGAGAGGAUGAUCAGCCACACUGGAACUGAGACACGGUCCAGACUCCUACGGGAGGCAGCAGUAAGGAAUAUUGCUCAAUGGGGGAAACCCUGAAGCAGCAACGCCGCGUGAAGGAUGAAAUACUUUGUAUGUAAACUUCUGUAAGAUGGGAAAAAUAUUCUCCUCGGGAGAAUUGAUUGUACCAUCAGAGUAAGCCCCGGCUAACUACGUG
Molecule: ribosomal RNA, 451 nt
Filed under: uncultured bacterium
Lineage: Bacteria
Description: bacterial SSU rRNA
Rfam family: Bacterial small subunit ribosomal RNA
Source: RNAcentral